AAACCAACAGGGAUUGCCUUAGUAACGGCGAGUGAAGCGGCAAGAGCUCAAAUUUGAAAUCUAGCACUUUCAGUGUUCGAGUUGUAAUUUGAAGAAGGUAUCUUUGGAGUUGGCCCCUGUCUAUGUUCCUUGGAACAGGACGUCACAGAGGGUGAGAAUCCCGUGCGAUGGGGAGACCAAUUCUUUGUAAAGUUCCUUCGAAGAGUCGAGUUGUUUGGGAAUGCAGCUCUAAGUGGGUGGUAAAUUCCAUCUAAAGCUAAAUAUUGGCGAGAGACCGAUAGCGAACAAGUACAGUGAUGGAAAGAUGAAAAGAACUUUGAAAAGAGAGUGAAAAAGUACGUGAAAUUGUUGAAAGGGAAGGGCUUUUGAUCAGACUUGGUGUUUAACGAUCUCUUCUCCUUGUGGGAGGGGCUCUUGUUUUAUACUGGGCCAGCAUCGGUUUGGAUGGCAGGAUAAUGACAUUGGAACGUGGCUUCAUUCGUGAAGUGUUAUAGCCUUUGUUGAUACUGCCUAUCUAGACCGAGGACUGCGUCUUGACUA
Molecule: ribosomal RNA, 540 nt
Filed under: Nakazawaea molendinolei
Lineage: Eukaryota; Fungi; Ascomycota; Pichiomycetes; Alaninales; Pachysolenaceae
Description: Nakazawaea molendiniolei partial large subunit ribosomal RNA
Rfam family: Eukaryotic large subunit ribosomal RNA
Source: RNAcentral